RNAcentral lists this microRNA precursor (107 nucleotides) under Podarcis lilfordi (Lilford's wall lizard). Lineage: Eukaryota; Metazoa; Chordata; Lepidosauria; Squamata; Lacertidae. The record is from RNAcentral.
UGUGUGUGUGUGUGUGUGUGUGUGUGUGUGAGAGAGAGAGAGAGAGAGAGAGAGAGAGAGAAUUUGAUUGGCAUACACACACACACACACACACACACACACACACU